Molecule: small RNA, 120 nt
Filed under: Enterobacteriaceae bacterium Kacie_13
Lineage: Bacteria; Pseudomonadati; Pseudomonadota; Gammaproteobacteria; Enterobacterales; Enterobacteriaceae
Description: RtT sRNA
Rfam family: RtT RNA
About the family: This family represents a bacterial cis-regulatory element known as RtT RNA.
Source: RNAcentral
UAUGUAGUGAAGCAGUGCAGGAUGAGAACCACAGGUUUGAGCCGAGCGAAGCGAGACGACAACGCGCAAGCGUUGCCCGCAGAUUGAGGCGAAGCCGAGUCAAUCCAGUACGGCCCACUA